Molecule: RNA transcript, 611 nt
Organism: Ictalurus punctatus (channel catfish)
Lineage: Eukaryota; Metazoa; Chordata; Actinopteri; Siluriformes; Ictaluridae
Gene name: E3 ubiquitin-protein ligase UBR2-like
Exons: 5
Source: RefSeq, a predicted model, not a curated record
UCAUUCAUUCAAACCAUCGAAGUAGGAUAAGCGGCUUUGGUAAUGAUUCUUUAAAUGAACCGAUUCAGAAUCCUCUUCUUGAAUCGUUUGAGUCGUUCUCACUCGGUCAGGGUUGCACGUGUGGGUUGCUUUUCCUGCACGUGUAAUCAGCACGUGUUCACAGACCAUAAAUCCCGACCCCAUGGUAGACACUCGACAGAAAUUUCAUACUAAAACAGGAGCCUGUGGUUUCCUACUCUGAACGCUGUUCGAGCCAGGUCGACUUCAGGAGGCCCCACUCCGCCCUUCACCACCCUGUCAGUCACCCACCCAGCCAAUCACAUCACUCCUGUAGAGUUGCACUGACCAGAGAAACACAACACCAUGAACUAGGUCUACUGGAGUGAAAUGAUCGAAUGCUUUCUUCAGCUUUGAGUAUUGCUGAAGACUCAAAGUGCCGUGUGGUGGUGUUCUCGGGUACAGGGAAAAUCUUCACUGCAGUUUAUUUUGGAUACAGGCAGAGGAAGCUCAGCAAAAGCUUAAGAGACAGAAUGGAGAGGACCCAGCCCUGCCUCCAUUCUGCCCACUGUUUGCCAGCUUGGGAAACAUUCUGCAGUGUGACGUGCUGCUUG